AAUGAACGCUGGCGGCAGGCCUAACACAUGCAAGUCGAACGGAUCCUUCGGGAUUAGUGGCGGACGGGUGAGUAACGCGUGGGAACAUACCCAAAGGUACGGAAUAGCCUCGGGAAACUGGGAGUAAUACCGUAUGUGCUCGAAAGAGGAAAGAUUUAUCGCCUUUGGAUUGGCCCGCGUUGGAUUAGGUAGUUGGUGGGGUAAUGGCCUACCAAGCCGACGAUCCAUAGCUGGUUUGAGAGGAUGAUCAGCCAGACUGGGACUGAGAAACGGCCCAGACUCCUACGGGAGGCAGCAGUGGGGAAUCUUAGACAAUGGGGGAAACCCUGAUCUAGCCAUGCCGCGUGAUCGAUGAAGGCCUUAGGGUUGUAAAGAUCUUUCAGGUGGGAAGAUAAUGACUGUACCACCAGAAGAAGCCCCGGCUAACUCCGUGCCAGCAGCCGCCGUAA
RNAcentral lists this ribosomal RNA (449 nucleotides) under uncultured bacterium. RNAcentral's name for it is "partial 16S ribosomal RNA". It matches the Rfam family "Bacterial small subunit ribosomal RNA", at positions 29 to 523 of the family's 1533-position model. The record is from RNAcentral.